This is a non-coding RNA of Glonium stellatum, 94 nucleotides long. Lineage: Eukaryota; Fungi; Ascomycota; Dothideomycetes; Gloniales; Gloniaceae. The record is from the annotation of a GenBank genome assembly.
UCCUCCAUGGCGCAAUUGGCUAGCGCGUCUGACUGUUAUCCAGUUCAACUGGGUAGACAUCAGGAGGUUCGUGGUUCGAGCCCACGUGGGGGAG